Molecule: long non-coding RNA, 799 nt
Organism: Nerophis lumbriciformis (worm pipefish)
Lineage: Eukaryota; Metazoa; Chordata; Actinopteri; Syngnathiformes; Syngnathidae
Source: RefSeq, a predicted model, not a curated record
AUUCCUCAGUAAAUUCACCAAGACGUCACCUUGGAGUUGUUGGGUCCGUUGAGCGGAUUGGAGAGCAAGCUUCCUCAGCUAGUGGGUCCAUGACGAUGACUUCUGUUUUGCUUGAUCGGACGUUUUACUGCCGUGUUACAGACUUUUGGGAACAAUUAAAGAUUCACAAAUUCCUCAGUAAAUUCACCAAGGCUUCACCUUGGAGUUGUUGGGUCCGUUGAGCGGAUUGGAGAGCAAGCUUCCUCAGCUAGUGGGUCCAUGACGAUGACUUCUGUUUUGCUUGAUCGUCCGUUUUACUGCCGUGUUACAGACUUUUGGGAACAAUUAAAGAUUCACAAAUUCCUCAGUAAAUUCACCAAGACGUCACCGUGGAGUUAUUGGGUCCGUUGAGCGCAUUGGAGAGCUGGCUUCCUCAGCUAGUGGGUCCUUGACGAUGACUUCUGUUUUGCUUGAUCGGCCGUUUUACUGCCGUGUUACAGACACUUUUGGGAACAAUUAAAGAUUCACAAAUUCCUCAGUAAAUUCACCAAGACGUCACCGUGGAGUUGUUGGGUCCGUUGAGCGCAUUGGAGAGCAAGCUUCCUCAGCUAGUGGGUCCAUGACGAUGACUUCUGUUUUGCUUGAUAGGCCGUUUUACUGCCGUGUUACAGACACUUUUGGGAACAAUUAAAGAUUCACAAAUUCCUCAGUAAAUUCACCAAGACGUCACCUUCGAGUUGUUGGGUCCGUUGAGCGCAUUGGAGAGCUGGCUUCCUCAGCUAGUGGGUCCAUGACGUUGACUUGUGUUUUGCUUGAUCGG